This 466-nucleotide ribosomal RNA is filed under the name Vreelandella stevensii. RNAcentral describes it as "partial 16S ribosomal RNA". It matches the Rfam family "Bacterial small subunit ribosomal RNA", at positions 338 to 795 of the family's 1533-position model. Lineage: Bacteria; Pseudomonadati; Pseudomonadota; Gammaproteobacteria; Oceanospirillales; Halomonadaceae. The record is from RNAcentral.
CCUACGGGGGGCAGCAGUGGGGAAUAUUGGACAAUGGGCGAAAGCCUGAUCCAGCCAUGCCGCGUGUGUGAAGAAGGCCUUCGGGUUGUAAAGCACUUUCAGUGGGGAAGAAAGCCUUGGGGCUAAUACCCUCGAGGAAGGACAUCACCCACAGAAGAAGCACCGGCUAACUCCGUGCCAGCAGCCGCGGUAAUACGGAGGGUGCGAGCGUUAAUCGGAAUUACUGGGCGUAAAGCGCGCGUAGGCGGUCUGAUAAGCCGGUUGUGAAAGCCCCGGGCUCAACCUGGGAACGGCAUCCGGAACUGUCAGGCUAGAGUGCAGGAGAGGAAGGUAGAAUUCCCGGUGUAGCGAUGAAAUGCGUAGAGAUCGGGAGGAAUACCAGUGGCGAAGGCGGCCUUCUGGACUGACACUGACGCUGAGGUGCGAAAGCGUGGGUAGCAAACAGGAUUAGAUACCCCUGUAAGUC